GCGGGGAUAGCUCAGUUGGGA
This 21-nucleotide non-coding RNA is filed under the name Arabidopsis thaliana (thale cress). The record is from RNAcentral. Lineage: Eukaryota; Viridiplantae; Streptophyta; Magnoliopsida; Brassicales; Brassicaceae.